AUGAACGCUAGCGACAGGCUUAACACAUGCAAGUCGAGGGGUAACAGGGUAGCAAUACCGCUGACGACCGGCGCACGGGUGAGUAACGCGUAUGCAACCUGCCUAUAACUGGGAAAUAGCUCCCUGAAAGGGGGAAUUAACACCGCAUAACACUAUUGAUUCGCAUGGAUUAGUAGUUAAAUGUAGCGAUACAGGUUAUAGAUGGGCAUGCGUGACAUUAGCUAGUUGGUGAGGUAACGGCUCACCAAGGCUACGAUGUCUAGGGGUUCUGAGAGGAAGGUCCCCCACACUGGUACUGAGACACGGACCAGACUCCUACGGGAGGCAGCAGUGAGGAAUAUUGGUCAAUGGGCGCAAGCCUGAACCAGCCAUGUCGCGUGCAGGAAGAACCUGCCCUAUGGGUUGUAAACUGCUUUUAUAGUAGAAGAAACACAUCUACGUGUAGAUGUCUGCCAGUAUACUAUGAAUAAGCAUCGGCUAACUCCGUGCCAGCCGCCGC
Molecule: ribosomal RNA, 499 nt
Filed under: uncultured bacterium
Lineage: Bacteria
Description: bacterial SSU rRNA
Rfam family: Bacterial small subunit ribosomal RNA
Source: RNAcentral